GGUCGGUUAGCUCAGUUGGUUAGAGCGUGGUGCUAAUAUCACUCCGGUAUAUGGCACGCCAAGGUCGCGGGUUCGACCCCCGUACUGACCA
This is a non-coding RNA of Delphinella strobiligena, 91 nucleotides long. NCBI's taxonomy places the organism in Eukaryota, Fungi, Ascomycota, Dothideomycetes, Dothideales, Dothioraceae. The record is from the annotation of a GenBank genome assembly.